AUCCCAGCAGUGCAAUGGAUAGCGCUUUGGACUUCUAAUCCAUAAUGUCGUGGGUUCGAAUCCCCCUUGGGAUG
Molecule: non-coding RNA, 74 nt
Organism: Trichonephila clavata
Lineage: Eukaryota; Metazoa; Arthropoda; Arachnida; Araneae; Nephilidae
Source: the annotation of a GenBank genome assembly